AGUGAACGCUGGCGGCAGGCCUAACACAUGCAAGUCGAGCGGCAGCGCGGGGGCAACCCUGGCGGCGAGCGGCGGACGGGUGAAGAAUUCGUCGGAAUCUGCCUUUUUGUGGGGGAUAACGUAGGGAAACUUACGCUAAUACCGCAUACGUCCUACGGGAGAAAGUGGGGGACCGCAAGGCCUCACGCAGAAAGAUGAGCCGACGACCGAUUAGCUAGUUGGUGGGGUAAAGGCCCACCAAGGCGACGAUCGGUAGCUGGUCUGAGAGGAUGAUCAGCCACACUGGGACUGAGACACGGCCCAGACUCCUACGGGAGGCAGCAGUGGGGAAUAUUGGACAAUGGGCGCAAGCCUGAUCCAGCCAUGCCGCGUGUGUGAAGAAGGCCUUCGGGUUGUAAAGCACUUUUGUCCGGAAAGAAAUCCCUGGAGCUAAUACCUUCGGGGGAUGACGGUACCGGAAGAAUAAGCACCGGCUAACUUCGUG
RNAcentral lists this ribosomal RNA (484 nucleotides) under uncultured bacterium. RNAcentral describes it as "partial 16S ribosomal RNA". It matches the Rfam family "Bacterial small subunit ribosomal RNA", at positions 29 to 507 of the family's 1533-position model. The record is from RNAcentral.